UUUUUAAUGUUUUGUUAUUUUACAACAAAUAGAAUCUUAAGUCUUCACUGUCAAUGCUCCAGUGAAGUAUCUAUAUAAAACUACGUUGUAAAUACGAAGGAAAAUACUCAAAGCUUAAUAAUAAUAAAAAAAAAACCCAAAUACGACUGCAACUUGUAUCAUUAAGUCCACAAUCAUAUUGAAAAAGAAAACCAGGAGACCGCAAACAUGAACACAAAAAUAUACUUGCAGUAUGCUACACAUAGUUACAUAAUACAGU
RNAcentral lists this long non-coding RNA (259 nucleotides) under Mytilus galloprovincialis (Mediterranean mussel). Lineage: Eukaryota; Metazoa; Mollusca; Bivalvia; Mytilida; Mytilidae. The record is from RNAcentral.